UAUAUAUAUAUAUAUAUAUAUAUGCAGUCCUUGGGUUACCUCGGACUUGAUGUAUGUCAUUCCGUCGUUAUGUCGCCAUCUCCCAUUUAUUAAAAAAAAAAAAAGUUCUGUCAUUUCGACGUAUGUACAUAUAUGCUUUAUGUUUUUUAUUAUUUAUUUACCACAAGUAAAGGUCAGGAAUUGUUACCUUAUACAUUUUUUUUACUGUUUCACUUCAUUACUGCUGUGUAUGUGCUCCAUGUGUGACGUAGGUGCUUAUGUAGGUGGGUUCCGACUUACGGUGAAAAUUGCGUUUUGUCGCACCGUAGGAAUGGAUCUCCAAUGUAACCCGAGGACCUACUGUGUGUGUGUGUGUGUGUGUGUGUGUGUGUGUGUGUGUGUGUGUAUGCCUAAGCGACCAUUCGACCGGUAGCUAUGGUGUGCACUGACCACCAGGGGCAGACGCUCAACGCACAGGCAUGGAAACAUGGAACAGACUGAUGAGUGGAGCGGGAGGGUGUAAAGAGAUUAACGAAAGAUCUAUAUGCAUACUAGAGGAUUCAUGCACCGGUGGGGUUCCUUGGCCUGGCCUCUGGGAAUUGGGCCCAAAACCGGCAGUCUGACAUCCCCCGAGGGGCCCUGGAUUGUGAGAGGGUGCAGGCCAGGCCAAGGGACCCCACCGUGCACCGGGCCUCUAGUUUUUAGAUAAAAGAAAACUAAAUGUGUGCAGAUUUCACAAUAGGAAGGCUAAAGAAAGUUCUUUUUUAAAUAUGUUUUUAUUGAUUUCAGAGAGAGGAAGGGAGAGAAUCGAACCGUGACCUCCUGGUUCAUAGAUCAACACUCAACCACUGAGCCACACGGGCUGGGCUAGCUUUGCUUUUUGAAUGGUUUCUGUCCUAGCAUUCUGCAGCACUGGUCUUUGGCUUCUGCCCCUUCUUUCCCUUGGCUGGCACCUCUCCUUCUUUCCCACUGGCUCAGGGACUUAUUGUGAAAGACAUAUUUGACCCUGUGUGCUUUGCCCACAGCCAUGGUUUUACCAUGUGACCUCGUCCCUGGCCCUUAUACUCGAGGCGAUGAGUAGUAACCUGGAGCAAGCCAUUUCUCUCUGGAGAAGCUAAAGUAAGAGUCAGGACAGAAGACAUUCCCAGGCUCUGUCAGGACCCGGCUGCCACUGCUCUGGAGACCAGACACCAUUAGACUUGGAACCCUGGACUCACCGGCAUGCCACCACAGGAGAUCUCCAAACAGGGACUGAGUACCUGCCCCCCCCACACAGGUUUGUUCUCUACUGGGUGGCCUGUUAGAAAUUAAGUCAGCUUCCCUCUCAUGUAGAGUGAAAGCCAGCCUUUAUGAAGUCCUACUUGGUUUGGUCUCCUGUACCCCUGUGUGCUCAUCUAUCGCUCUUCCCUUGCCCCACCCUGCUCCAGCCACAUGGGCUAUUCCUCAGUCACUCCAAGCCUGCCCUCACCUAUAGGGGCGCUGGCUGUUCCCUUCACUUAGAAUACUCUUCCCCAAGUACACCCAUAGCUCCCUACCUCACCAGCUCCAAGUCUUAGCUUAGAAGUCAUUUCUCCAGAGGCCCAUCUGAUCUCCCUAUGUAAGCCCAACCAAUCUAGCCCACAUGCCCAUUUAAAAAAAUCUUUGACCAUAUCAUUAUACUUACUGUUUAUUGAUUGUCUUCUUGAUGAAUCUGCUCUAGGAGCCUAGACCCGGGACCUAGACUAGUGCCUGGCAUUAAAGUUAAUACUCCACAGCUGUUUGUUGAAUGGGUCACUGACAGUGUGGUAUGCUGUUCCUGGUAUAAAAAGUCUUGGGAAGCAUGAGUUGAAUUCUGGUUCUGUCACUUACCAGAGGUUCAACCUCUCUGAACCUCAGUUUUCUCAUCUGUAACAUGGAAACCUACCUCAAAUGAAUUCUUGGUGAAGAGUAAAUGAGAGGAGGUCCAGUUGCCAUUUUCUCAUUCUUUCCUGCCCACCUGUUCAAAUCUAUUAAAUGAUCUCCCAAGCCAAUAGGAUUGCAAUGAAUGUUUCCAUUUACUUUGGAUUAUAUGUCAUUACAAAUAUUAACAAAUAAGACUUAAAAAGGACACCUUUGGGUAGGUCAGACGAAAGUACAAAAAUUGUGUGUGGGGCUGCAGUUUAAGGACGUUUUCUGCAGCCAUCACAUGGUAGCAAAACAGUGUUAAGCAGUGCACGAGAGUCCGUGUCGAGGACAGCCAGAGUCCAUGCAUGGAGAGGUUCUCAGUUGGGAAGGAACAAAGACUGGACAUGCACGGGCCGGGAGGUGCAGUUCCUCGCUCUCACCCCUAGAGGUCAGGAGGUUACCGCUUCAGGGUUGGAAGACUGGCCCGUCCGGGAUUGGCUAGUGCUGGCGUUGGGUCGGGUGGAGGCUAGGAAGGGAGGUGGUGGAGGUGGAUGCAGCGCAUUGGGAGACCCCCCUGGUUACUGACACCUGACUUUGAAAUGACAUUUUUUUCUUUUUUGGUGUCAAUUUCCCAUCUUCGUAAAUCUGAUGGAUCAGAGGAAAGAUGCCAGUUUGGGGUCAAAGGCAGAGCUUUGCAGCUUCUCAAAGAGCUUUUUCUUUAACAGAUAAAAUCUGCAAGUGGUCUAGAACAGCCCCAGGGUUCUGGUGAAGGGUCUGUCACUCUCUGGGGGCCCUCCUGCCCAAGGGCCCCACCCUUCACUUGGGAUGGCUGUGCUUCUAGAAGCCUUGCCUCCUGUGGUCGGCUGGGACCAUAUUUGAGGGCCAAACCUACCUACCCUUGCACAGCCUGGGGCAGUAGAGGGCCCUGGACUGGGUGCUGGGAGUCCUGGUUCUUGUCCCAGCUGAGCCUAUGUAUCUGAUAAGGAAGUUGUACUAGGUGGACUCACAGCCCUUUCUAGCUUUGCCUUUCAGCAUUUCCGUGUUUUCACAGAGGCUGUGAGUCUGCUCUCUGAAUAAGGCCCUCCAAAAGACAAAGUUAAGACGAUACCCAGAGCUCACCCAGACACAAGGGUUGUGAAGAUUCAUUAAGACAGUGCACAAAGCCUUCUUAAAGAUGGGAAAACCAAGGUUCCAUGACCAGCCAAGCUUGCCAGGUACUGUGUGGGGGCUGGAGUCCCGAGUUCCCUGCAAACGGGAAAGGGCUGAUGGGCACUUGGUGGGAUUCACAUCAUCACCCCAGGCCUCAGAUGGUGGUGUGCUUUGUGUUUGCAGCAGAAGGUUCGACCCCUGUGAGCCCUGCUGCUACCGUUGGUGUGUGUGGGCAGCAGGCAGGGGAGAGCCCUAGGCUGGCAGCUAGCAGGAACUCAUGUGCAAGCCCAGCAUCCUACUUCCCCUGAAGUAUGGUGUCCAGAGCACUGGGCUGGGGGUGGGACAGGGGCCAUGGAGCCUGGUCUGCCCCAGCUGUGGUAAGGCUGCAAGGCCUUUCCCUCUCCAGGUUCUCUCUCCCAUCAAGUGCAGUGAGUGAUAGAUUGAACACAGAAAUUCCUUGGUUAUGCAUUUUUUUCAUCCAGAAUCCCUGAAGGCCCCUUGGUAAGCAGGGAAAGUCUGGGGCUUCAGACUCGGGCCCCAAUCCUUCAACGCCUCUUUGGAGACCCUAACUCGGGGUACAGACAGGCCACAGGCAGGGUGUCUUCCUCUUAGCUUUCCUGUACUGUUGCCCAGUAUUCCUGAGAGGGCAACCAUCUGGGAUCCCCCCACUACAAGUCCCAAGGCCUGGGGGGGAGGCAGAGGAAGAGAAAUGGAUGUGGACAGGAGGAAUUUUUGCUUCUUUUCAUGCAAAACAAGGGGCCCUUUUCUGUUCUGAUUACAGCUAAUCUGAUGCUGGGAAGAACGAGAGGCAAGGUCCAUCCUUCAGGUUCCUCAGGAGGAGAAAGAGAUCAAAGGUGGGCGAAUUGGGUCUGAGGAUUGAACUUGACCCUGCCCCAACAUUAGUUUCACCACAGGGCUUCUGUCACUUCCCCCACAGCUAGGAGCCCAGGCUGGCCUGGCCACCAGGGAUGGGGAGGGAGCAGGGCUGGGCACCAUCGUGCCUGGGCCCCAAUCCUGUCCUCACAUACCCUUCCCCCAGAGAAACCCGUGAGUCCCUCAUAGUGCCCCUGGCCCAACCACCAUUCUCUCCCCUCCAGGUCUUUGCAGACCAUCCCCACUGCCUGCACUGCCCUCCCUUUUGGCUGCCUGACACUCCACUACCCUUCAAGGCCUUGCUGCAGCAUGACCUUCUCUAGGAAGCCCUCCCAGCAGAGUCCAUAGCACCCAUAGGUGGGCCAGGCUGGCCACAGCAUUCCUCACUCCCCACUGUAAUGGUUCAUUUCCAGCUCCCCGAUUAGAUGGGAAACUCCCUGAGGGCAGGCCCUGGGUUUCUGCCAUCCCAGAGGCUUGUGAAAUAAUUGAGGGAAGUAUUUGCCAAGUGCCUACGUUCAUUAGGAGUUCUGGGAAAUUCACUAGACUCCUGGCUCUCAGGUUAACCUUUUCCCAUCUGCCCAGUAAUGCCAGAGAUGAACAGAUGUAGUCAGAGUCCUGUCCCCAAUCUCCUCCCCCAACGUCCUCUUCCUAGUGUCUGCCUCAGGAGUUCUCACUGGACCCACCAAGGUGCCCCUGCACUCCUGUUCUCUUAGCCCUGGUCCCCUGUGCCUUACUGCUGACCUCAAGUAGGGUGCUUCCUCCUGGACGGCCCCGGCCCCAUCCCUGGGGUAGGUGCUGAGGCCAAGCUCCUUUCUGCCUCUCUCUGGCCCUGUCAGGCCCCAGGGGUUGAAAGCAGGUGGGGCCUUCUGCCCUUGUUGUCCCUCGAGGUGGCUGGGUCCUCCAUGGCCUCCAAGAAGGGGCUGCAGUGGUUCUGUGUCCGAGCAGGUGUCCUGGAUCUCCCCCAUCGUGGGGGCCGAGGCCCUUGGUGGCAACUGAGGAAGCUCAGGUCCAGGCCUGUGUUGGGCCAAGUGACAGGCAAGGUUGGGUGCGGUGGCAGGUGGGGGCAGGUCAGUCGCUGAGCACGGCCCCAGGGAGUUCGUUGGUGAGCGUGUGCCAGCGUUCGAUCCGCUUGUCCUUGUUCUUCAGGCAGUCAAACCAGUGCUUUAGGCGCUCGCCCUUGGCAUUGAUGCCCAGAACAACACCGCCUGCAGGAGGGAAUUUCAGGGGGCAGCCAGGGGCAGGUGCUCUCACGAUCCCAUCCCUCUGGAACCAGUGCCCCCCUCCCCUUCCCAGGUUCCAUGACCCAAGGCUGGACUUUGCACCUUGCCCACGGGGCUCUAAGGGUGGACAGUAGUCUUACUGCCAUGCCACACUCUUGGCCCUCAAGAUCAGGGCCUGGGACCCUGCCCUUCCUCUACCCAGGACCAAGGGAGGGAGACAAAAAAGAGCCAAAAGGGCCAGGACAGCUCUACUGUGUGCAGCCACCAAGCCCACAGGGAUUCGGGGCUACAAGGGCUCAGAGUCCAGCCCGAGGCGUGGACCAUCACCACCUCUCACGCCUGCUCCACCACAGACUCCUGUGUGACCCUCCCGGCCUGUCUCUUCCUCUGCCACACUGAGCUGGGCUGGAUAAUGUCUGAAGCUCCUCGUGUGGGGGCAGGCGGUCUGUGAACCCAGAUUGCUCCAAGCCAUUUCCUCUUACCAAUGAAAUCAUUGGAUUUUCCAAUGUCGUAAUCCCAAACGGUGACCUCCAGGGUCUUCUUGGCCAGGUCCCCAUGCUUAAUCUCAUAACAGAACUCCUGGUGGCCAGAAGGGGAGAGUCAGGGCUAAUGCCACAUGGCCAAGAGCGCCCUGAGGUAUGGGGAGGGCAUGAACUGAGGGAGAGGUGGGCGAAUGGAAGGUGGUCAGUGCCUGGUGGUGGACAAUGGUGGAUUCUCAUCCAUCUUGUCCACUUAUGCCUGAGAGCCUGGCCGGGGUCCUCAGGGCCCCCUUCACUCCAACCCACCUGCCCCUUUGACACUGAAGCCUCUCUCUCAAGAUUCCCAGGGCCUCCUGUUGCCAGAUCAACUCACGUUUGCCAGUCUUGGUGUCCUUGACUUCUCUUGGGUCUGGCUAUGCUGACCACUGGCUUCCAUGGUGCUCUGCUCUCUGGUGCCCCCCUCGCCCUCUGGAAGCGCUGCCUUUGCCUGCCCCCCCGCAUUGCUCAGGCUCUGCCUGAGGCCCCUGUGCUCCUCGCCCGUCUCACUCCUUGCCAUGAUCAUGUCUCCCUCAGAGCUUCUCCAUCUCCCUCACACCUCCUGCUCCACUUUUUUUAAAAA
Myotis daubentonii (Daubenton's bat) is the source of this 6182-nucleotide long non-coding RNA. RefSeq lists it as uncharacterized. The record is from RefSeq and is a predicted model, not a curated record. Lineage: Eukaryota; Metazoa; Chordata; Mammalia; Chiroptera; Vespertilionidae. The transcript is spliced from 2 exons.